Long non-coding RNA from Pelmatolapia mariae (spotted tilapia), 313 nucleotides. RefSeq lists it as uncharacterized. The record is from RefSeq and is a predicted model, not a curated record. Lineage: Eukaryota; Metazoa; Chordata; Actinopteri; Cichliformes; Cichlidae. The transcript has 3 exons.
ACCGUCCUGAGAAGCCUGACAAACAGGAGCGGGAUUACAGAGACCGAGUGAAGAUGAAGGACGAGCGUGUGAAAAGCGGACGGUUCAGCCUGACCCUUGAACGCCCCACAGAGAGAGACAGUGGCAGAUACAGCUGUGUGGCCUGGAGCCAGGGAAACAUCAUCGGAUGGAGAGUCGUGCUGCUCACAGUUACAGGGGGAGAUCAGCACAUCAGGAACAGAAGCAGCUCCAUUGAUCCGACUCCUCUGAUGGCUGAAGUUUGAUCUGUGAGCAGUGAGCAUGAGUGGGAGCCGUGGACGCUGCUGCAGGAAGG